CAGGUUUACCUGUGUGACUGCGUACCUUUUGUAUAAUGGGUCAGCGACUUAUAUUCUGUAGCAAGGUUAACCGAAUAGGGGAGCCGGAGGGAAACCGAGUCUUAAUUGGGCGUUAAGUUGCAGGGUAUAGACCCGAAACCCGGUGAUCUAGCCAUGGGCAGGUUGAAGGUUGGGUAACACUAACUGGAGGACCGAACCGACUAAUGUUGAAAAAUUAGCGGAUGACCUGUGGCUGGGGGUGAAAGGCCAAUCAAACCGGGAGAUAGCUGGUUCUCCCCGAAAGCUAUUUAGGUAGCGCCUCGUGAAUUCAUCUCCGGGGGUAGAGCACUGUUUCGGCUAGGGGGCCAUCCCGGCUUACCAACCCGAUGCAAACUGCGAAUACCGGAGAAUGUUAUCACGGGAGACACACGGCGGGUGCUAACGUCCGUCGUGAAGAGGGAAACAACCCAGACCGCCAGCUAAGGUCCCAAAGUCAUGGUUAAGUGGGAAACGAUGUGGGAAGGCCCAGACAGCCAGGAUGUUGGCUUAGAAGCAGCCAUCAUUUAAAGAAAGCGUAAUAGCUCACUGGUCGAGUCGGCCUGCGCGGAAGAUGUAACGGGGCUAAACCAUGCACCGAAGCUGCGGCAGCGACGCUGAUGCGUUGUUGGGUAGGGGAGCGUUCUGUAAGCCUGCGAAGGUGGCCUGUGAGGGUUGCUGGAGGUAUCAGAAGUGCGAAUGCUGACAUAAGUAACGAUAAAGCGGGUGAAAAGCCCGCUCGCCGGAAGACCAAGGGUUCCUGUCCAACGUUAAUCGGGGCAGGGUGAGUCGACCCCUAAGGCGAGGCCGAAAGGCGUAGUCGAUGGGAAACGGGUUAAUAUUCCCGUACUUGGUGUUACUGCGAAGGGGGGACGGAGAAGGCUAUGUUGGCCGGGCGACGGUUGUCCCGGUUUAAGCGUGUAGGUGUGUGUUCCAGGUAAAUCCGGUU
Molecule: ribosomal RNA, 964 nt
Filed under: Salmonella enterica
Lineage: Bacteria; Pseudomonadati; Pseudomonadota; Gammaproteobacteria; Enterobacterales; Enterobacteriaceae
Also listed under: 4 other names
Description: partial 23S ribosomal RNA
Rfam family: Bacterial large subunit ribosomal RNA
Source: RNAcentral